AGCAGCCGCGGUAAUUCCAGCUCCAAUAGCGUAUAUUAAAGUUGUUGCAGUUAAAAAGCUCGUAGUUGAAUUUCGGGAUUGACACAUCGGUCGUGCCUUAAGGGGUAUGAACUGGUGUAGUCAAUUUCUCACCUUCUGGAGAACCGCGAUGCCCUUAAUUGGGUGUCGCGGGGAACCAGGACCUUUACUUUGAAAAAUUAGAGUGUUUAAAGCAGGCAUUUUGCUUGAAUACAUUAGCAUGGAAUAAUAAAAUAGGACGGCAUGAUUCUAUUUUGUUGGUUUCUAGGAUCACCGUAAUGAUUAAUAGGGAUAGUUGGGGGCAUUAGUAUUCAAUUGUCAGAGGUGAAAUUCUUGGGUUUAUUGAAGACUAACUACUGCGAAAGCAUUUGCCAAGGAUGUUUUCAUUAAUCAAGAACGAAAGUUAGGGGAUCGAGGACGAUCAGAUACCGU
Molecule: ribosomal RNA, 450 nt
Filed under: uncultured Glomeromycotina
Lineage: Eukaryota; Fungi; Glomeromycota
Description: SSU rRNA
Rfam family: Eukaryotic small subunit ribosomal RNA
Source: RNAcentral